UCUACAGUUGAAGUCAGAAGUCGGUGCAGCCAGCUGGUUUCUUCACGCAUCGUACCGAGAGAACCAAGCAUCUUUCUGUUCCUAUUGCAGCUCAUACAAAUGACCGAAUGGAUGACAUACUGACUGAUGGCCAUACGUCUGGACAACCUUCUUCGGGAGCGCUGGCGCCAACGUCUCUCCUCGCCCCCCUCAUUUGGCUGUCCUGAGGCAGAACCUCAACCCAUGGAGGUAGGGGCCACAUUGCUCUCUGCGGCAGAGCGGGGCUCUGUCCUAUUUGCGGCUAGCUUCAGUGGUGUCCUGUGCUUCUCAACCCGGAUUCGACUAGGGCAGAGGGGCGGCCCCAUGAUCUUCUGUCUCCCAGGGUAAGCCUGAGUAUUCCAUCAUCAUCUUUUUCCGCCAACCCCUUUUUGGUUCCCAUUCCACUGGCUGGCUGUCCCUCCGGUUUUGUCUCUACAGCUUUAGUGGACUCCGGUGCCACGGGUAACUUCUUCGACCAGGCCCUCGCCUCUUCCCUGAACAUAACCUCGUACCUGCUCUCCUCUCCUUUUCCAUUCUAAGCCCUGGAAAAUUGACCAUUGGGACCUGGUACAAUUACAUAAAUCACAGCACCAUUCACCCUUAGCGUGGGACCCAUGCCCCAGGAAAGCCUUCCCUUCCUCAUCAUCACCAUACACAAAGUCUUCCUCCAAUGUCAUAACCCCACCAUCUCCUGGUCGAGGAUGAAAAUCACUACCUGGGCACCAGGAUGCUGGAAGACUUGCUUUUCUGUACCCUGUGGUUCCACAUCUGUUGAGAGUCCUGUAAGUGCCCUCCAGCCCAUCAUUCGGUCCUCCUGUAUCAUUGGCCCCAUGUUUUGGGGUGUAGAUGUGGACAUCCGCCAGGCUCUGGAGAGGGAACCAGCUCCUGCUUUCUGCCCUCCUGAAUGCAUGUACGUCCCCACGGUGGUAAGAGAUCGGCUGUUGACCUGGGCACACACAUCCCUCGCAGCUGGAUACCCAGGUAUCACCCGCACCAUUCAAUCCAUCUCCCCUAAGUACUGUUGGCCCACCUUGGCACAGGACGUCGCCCACUAUGUCAACUCAUGUUCAGUAUGUGCCCAAACAAAAUCUCCCCGACUUGGUCCAGCAGCGAAACUCCUUCCCAUACCCGUGCCUCAGCGGCCUUGGUCCCAUCUGUCCAUGGAUUUUGUCACUCUCUCCAGUCUCUCCACCUCUCUUCAGUUCGCUGAGGAACUGUUCCAGUGGGUUUUCCAGCAGUAUGGCUUUCCGGAGGACCUCGUCUCUGACCGUGGCCCUCAAUUCACGUUGCUGGUAUGGAGAGUCUUCAUGGAGAAGCUGGGGGCCACGGCCAACCUCACAUCCGGGUACCAGCCUCAGUCCAACGGCCAGGUGGAGACAACAAACCAGGAGCUGUGGAGGUUCCUUACGAGUCACUGCCAGGACCAUCAGGGGGAGUGGGCCCAGUUCCUUCCCUGGGCGGAGAACACCCAGAACUCACUCUGUCACUCCUCCACCGGGCUGACUCCAUUCCAGUGCAUCCUGGGAUGUCAGCCAGCCCUGGCCCCGUGGACCUCGAGCCAGACCGAAUCCCCUGCGGUGGGCGAGUGGUUCCGUGUCCAGAAGGAGCAGGCGGACCACCACUGUAGUGCGGCUCCCGUGUUCCAUUCUGGUGAUCGCGUCUGGCUCUCCACCAGGAACCUGAGCCACCGGUUUGUGGGACCCUUCAAGGUCAUCCGGAGGGUCAACAAGGUUGGUGGCUCCUGGUCCCCAGGCUGAUGCCUUCCCUCGCAACACCCCGAUGCCUUCCCUUGCAACACCCCAUCGCCUCCCCUGGGACCCCUUGCCUAUGCCGUCAGGUCCCUACUGGAAUCCUGUUGUCGUUCUGUACGAUACUCCUGUUCUGUUCAUCUGCCUUGUCUUAUUAUAUUUUUUACUUUUCCCCCUUUUUCUCCCCAAUUUCGUGGUAUCCAAUUGGUAGUUACAGUCUUGUCUCAUCGCUGCAACUCCUGUAUGGACUCGAGAGAAGCGAAGGUCGAGAGCCAUGCGUCCUCCGAAACACGACCCAACCAAGCUGUACUGCUUCUUGACACAAUGCCUGCUUAACCCGGAAGCCAGCCACACCAAUGUGUUGGAGGAAACACCGUACACCUGGCGACCGUGUCAGCGUGCAUGCGCCCGGCCCACCACAGGAGUUGCUAGAGCAUGAUGGGACAAGAAGAUCUCUGCUGGCCAAACCCUCCCCUAACCUGGACGAUGCUGGGCCAAUUGUGCACCAGCCCAUGGGUCUCCCGGUUGCAGCCGGCUGUGACAGAGCCUGGAGUCGAACCAGGAUCUCUAGUGGCACAGCUAGCAACUCUGAUGCAGUGCCGUAGGCCACUGAACCACUAGGGAGGCGCCUUGUCUUAUUAUUAAACUGUCUUUCUGAACCUC
Long non-coding RNA from Oncorhynchus tshawytscha (Chinook salmon), 2429 nucleotides. Lineage: Eukaryota; Metazoa; Chordata; Actinopteri; Salmoniformes; Salmonidae. The record is from Ensembl.